CGGGGCGUGGCCAUAAGACUUUCCGAGCUCAGUCUGUCUGAGCGGAUCCCGAGCGUCUGCCUCGGUUUCCGGUUAAAAUCGCUCCGAGGCAGUUUCGGGCCAAGGCUUUCUGCCUCUGGCCCUUACAGACCUCAGUCGCCUUGCUGGUCGUUUUCCUGUCCUGAACCUUUCUGUGACUCCCGAGUCUCCCCCCUGCCCUCACCCCCAACCGUGUCGGGCACAGACGUCACCAGGGAGGUGGAUGCUCGUCAUUUGUCCCGCCGCGGGGAGGGCAGAGUGGGGACAGAGAUGCUGGGAAAGACGCAGAAACCUGCAGCGUUAGAGGGUCCUCAGUUUGCAGAGAAAGAACGGUGGGGAUUGAAACCGAGGCUGUAACAGAGUGUGUCAGACUGUUGGAGGGACACAGAAACGGACAAAAAGAGAAACAAGGACACAGACUUAACACGGAGAACAAACCACAUCAUGGUCUGGGACGAGGCACAGGACCCAAACCCAGUAUAACCUUACCUGAGAAAGACCCGAGGAAGAGGGGGAAAAGGAGAAAUGACUCUUUCUGAGUUUCUUUCUGUUACAAAGAAUGCCAUGGUGGCUGCUUCUGAGCAGGCUGACUUCACUUCAGACAUCUAAGGAUAUCCUAAGAUUGUAUAUCUUAAGCAUGACCAGGUUAAUGAUGGUCUUUCUGAGGAGGAUGGUGUUUCAGACAUUCCACUUAUUAAAUAAAGAUUUUAAAUCAACUGGCUUACACAUCCUCAGCCAAAGGAAAACAUGGAAUAGAACUAAGAAG
Molecule: long non-coding RNA, 784 nt
Organism: Suricata suricatta (meerkat)
Lineage: Eukaryota; Metazoa; Chordata; Mammalia; Carnivora; Herpestidae
Exons: 3
Source: RefSeq, a predicted model, not a curated record